RNAcentral lists this unclassified non-coding RNA (2982 nucleotides) under Rhagoletis pomonella (apple maggot). RNAcentral's name for it is "matrix metalloproteinase-14, transcript variant X2". Lineage: Eukaryota; Metazoa; Arthropoda; Insecta; Diptera; Tephritidae. The record is from RNAcentral.
GCGGCAGCUUUCCGGUAGUGAUCACACAAUCAGUGGGUGACGAACUGCCGCAUCGCGUUUAGCGUAGUGUCAGUUAAACUUCGUUCGCAGUGCUGGGCGGUUGUGUUUUAGACGUGAUCAGUUUUACGGUUCUGACUAAUUAACCAAUAUUUUUUAAGUUAAAAUGACGGCCGUUAACGACAAAACUGCGCACAUAACUGAAUACUAAUGUGAAUAAGUGCAAUAUGUAUGUGUACAUAUACAUAUGUUAAAUACGUGUUGAAUUAUUGAACUAAAAAUUAGUUCAGCUUCAUUUCGUGUCGCGUUUCGACCAUUUUCAACCGCUACAGACAUAUACUAAAUCGCGAACGUUUAUGUGCAAAGUGAAUUCAAUCUAUCCCAGUUCAUUCAGUUGCAUAGAAGUAACAGGCUGCGCCAAAUCCAGUUACCAACGACUGCAAUCGUAUUCUUCGAAUUGUUAAAUAAAAAUCCAAAAUCAAAUCACAUCGAGUAUCCAGUCUGAAGUUAUUGUUUUCGUACAAACUCGAUUACAGAACUGAGCAGAAGAAGUCGGAAAUUGAUCAAAAAUUGUGAUAGUGGCUGUGGGAUUAUAAAUGACGUCAUAUAAUAAUUUAAGGAGAGGAGAUACCGCGACGAAAGGAUUCGAAGACUACUUCUCAAUCAAUUCAAGGCGAAGUCGAACAUCACCCAUUGAAAACGAUCGGCAACAAGCAAUUGAUAUAUUUGCCAGUAAAAUGUGCUCCUGUCACCAAUAUUCAGUAUUCAUAGGUUUAGCCAUAUUAUUAGCCGUAAUCUGUAAUGUCAGCAGCAGCCCCGUGCAGACGACCACGCAGGCCGAGAUUUAUCUAUCGCAAUUCGGCUAUCUACCCGCUUCAGCUCGUAAUCCUGCCAAUGGAGGUCUGCUCGAUGCAAGUACAUGGACUAAAGCUGUGCAAGAUUUCCAAAGUUUUGCCGGCCUUAAUGUAACGGGAGAUUUGGAUAAUGAGACUUUGGAAUUAAUGUCACUGCCGCGAUGUGGCGUGCGAGAUAAGGUGGGCUUUGGCACCGAUAGUCGCUCAAAACGUUAUGCUCUGCAGGGAAGUCGAUGGCGGGUAAAAGCUCUGACCUAUAAAAUUUCGAAGUACCCGAAACGUCUUAAGCGCAAUGAUGUUGAUGCCGAAAUAGGCCGCGCCUUCAGUGUAUGGAGUGAUUUUACAGAUCUAUCAUUUACUCCCAAAGCUUCAGGACCCGUUCAUAUCGAAAUUAAGUUUGUUGAAAGCGAACAUGGUGAUGGCGAUGCAUUUGACGGUGUUGGGGGCACACUAGCACAUGCAUUCUUCCCUGUUUUCGGUGGAGACGCUCAUUUUGACGAUGCCGAAUUAUGGACGAUCGGAUCACCACGUGGAACGAAUCUUUUCCAAGUGGCUGCCCACGAAUUUGGUCAUUCGUUAGGUUUGUCGCAUUCAGACGUCCGCUCUGCGUUGAUGGCACCUUUUUAUCGAGGGUUCGAUCCAGUAUUUAAACUUGAUUCCGACGAUGUUUUGGCUAUACAGGCUUUGUAUGGUAAAAAAACUGGCGGAGUGGGCGAUCGUGGUGGAUUCCCGAAAAGUACCCAAAGGCCGGUCUAUGCUCCUCCAAAAGCGCCCCGAGACGACCUCAUUUGCAAGGACCCAAAAGUGGACGCUCUAUUUAACUCGGCCGAUGGGCAGACAUAUGCUUUCAAGGGCAACAAGUACUACAGACUCACCGAAAACUCUAUUGCAGACGGUUAUCCCAAACUUAUUUCGGAGGGCUGGCCUGGUUUACAAGGUGAUAUCGAUGCUGCGUUCACAUACAAGAAUGGAAAAACCUACUUUUUCAAGGGUACCAAAUACUGGCGGUACAAUGGGCGACAAAUGGAUGGUGAUUAUCCAAAGGAAAUCAGCGAAGGCUUCACCGGUAUCCCAGAUCAUUUGGAUGCUGCUAUGGUAUGGGGCGGCAACGGAAAAAUUUACUUCUACAAAGGCAGCAAAUUCUGGCGUUUCGACCCAUUAAAACGACCGCCUGUGAAAUCCAGUUAUCCGAAACCUAUUUCAAACUGGGAGGGCCUGCCCAACAAUAUUGAUGCUGCAUUACAGUACACCAAUGGAUAUACGUACUUUUUCAAGGGUGACAAGUACUACAGAUUCAACGACAGGACAUUUUCGGUCGAUGCAGCAAAUCCACCAUUCCCACGACCAUCUGCCCACUGGUGGUUCGGCUGUAAAAAUGUUCCUUCAUCGACAGGUAAUAUUCUUGAAAAUGAUGAAGAAUCGCGUUUGCAUUCAGCAUACAACAAUGACGAAAAUGACGAGUCACUACAAUUCGAUGCAGACGAAACCCCUGAAAGACGGAAUAUUCCUGGUUGGAUGUGGAGCAUAGCGAAUUCGUUCUUUUAACAAUAUUUAUUCAAAACAUUAAGUGCGAUCUUUUAUGCACAUUUAGAUAUGAUAACAGAAGAGUUGAUCUAAAUUUAUAAUUCGAAUAACAUAACAGUAAUAGGGCCUAUAAAAACCGAAAGUAAGUUAAUUGUGUGUACUUAUGCGGAAAGGUAGCAGUUUAAUUGUACAUAUGUACAUAUGUGCCGUGCAGCAAAAAAUUAUGCCGGUUAAGCCAUAACUAUUGCAAGUGGUCAGAGCAUCCAGCUCGUCAGUUAGCCAGUGUCACCAUGUCAUCCAGCUUUAACAGUCAUCAACACAUAGUGCUUAUUGUUUUCGUCCAAGCGCAGCAGUGGCAACAGCUCAAUCCGCAGUGCUUCGUGUAAAGCUUCUGUUCUGAAGGGGGAAAACACCGAUUGGCUUUGUGAUGGCACCGUAUCCGUGCAGUAACCAGGCUAACCUGUGCAACAUAAGUACUCGUAUUCCCAAUAAACAUCACAGCAUCACACUAAUGAUAGAAAACGAAAUGAUGACCAUCAAGCGCACGACGAAUCCCCGGAAGCUGAUGCCUCAAGACAAAGCAAUUCCGCCCGGAAAUUUCAAGGAG